RNAcentral lists this ribosomal RNA (459 nucleotides) under uncultured bacterium. RNAcentral's name for it is "partial 16S ribosomal RNA". It matches the Rfam family "Bacterial small subunit ribosomal RNA", at positions 339 to 795 of the family's 1533-position model. The record is from RNAcentral.
CUACGGGAGGCAGCAGUGAGGAAUAUUGCGCAAUGGACGAAAGUCUGACGCAGCCAUGCCGCGUGCAGGAUGACGGCGCUAUGCGUUGUAAACUGCUUUUAUAGGCCAAGAAACCUUCGGACGUGUCCGAAGCUGACGGUAGCAUAUGAAUAAGCACCGGCUAACUCCGUGCCAGCAGCCGCGGUAAUACGGAGGGUGCAAGCGUUAUCCGGAUUUAUUGGGUUUAAAGGGUCCGUAGGCGGAUCAUUAAGUCAGUGGUGAAAGCCGGCAGCUCAACUGUCAAACUGCCAUUGAUACUGGUGAUCUUGAAUACGGUUGAAGUUGGCGGAAUAGGUCAUGUAGCGGUGAAAUGCUUAGAUAUGACCUAGAACACCGAUUGCGAAGGCAGCCAACUAAGCCGUUAUUGACGCUGAGGGGCGAAAGCGUGGGGAGCGAACAGGAUUAGAUACCCUUGUAGUC